GUGCCCUCCUUAAUGCCCAUCACCCAUUUAACCCAUCCCUCCACCCACCUCCCCUCCAGCAACCCUCAGUUUGUUCUUUGUAUUUAAGAGUCUCUUAUGGUUUGUGAGAGUGGGACUUUCCAAAGCUCUUCUCUGGAAUCUAAAAAAACAAGAACACAAGACACCAAAUGAAUACACAAACAAAAAGCAGAAUUAGGUCUGUAGAUACAGAAAACAAACUGAUGGUUGCCAGAGGGGCGGGAGGGGAGGACGGGCACAAUGGGUGAAGGGGAGUGGGAGAUACAGGCUUCCAGUUUUAGAACGAAUAAGUCUCGAGAGUCAAAGGCACAGCAUAGGCAACACAGUCAAUGGUACUCUAAAAUAGCAGAGCAUGGUGAUAGAUGGUAGCCACGCUUGUGGUGAGCAGAGCAUAACGAACAAACCCGUGGAAUCACUGUGUUGCACACCCCAGACUAAGGUAACACGUGUGCCAACUAUACUCAAAUAAAAAAAAAAAAAAGAAAAAAGAAAAAAGAGCUCUUACCUAAAUGCUUUUGUUUGCCCAGCAAAAUCGAGUGAGGUCAUCAGCCAAGGUGAGGUUCACGUGUGUGUUGGAGUGGUGGAAGGAGAGAAGAGCAGGUGUGAAGUAGUUGGUUGAGACAGAGCCAGAUUUCUGGGCCGUGUUGGGGUGAACGAUCACGAAUCUAAAAUAAAGUAAUUCUGCUUACUUUGAAUUUUCUGUAUGAAUAGGCUACUACUAUUUGGCGCCUUGGCUGCAGGUUGAUGUUUGGGUUCAUUCAGGACUGAAGUUUUGAUGGACUACAAGUCAAUUUGAUGAAUGAAUGGAUUAUUGACCCAUUUUAUCAUCAAGACUUUUGCAAGUUGACAUCAAAAAAAUGUCGCCCUUUUCCAAUGACAUGUCAAUUCAUUAGCCUGCUUUUAAAUGAAAUAAAUUACAUCAGGUAAGACCA
This is a long non-coding RNA of Felis catus (domestic cat), 950 nucleotides long. RefSeq lists it as uncharacterized. NCBI's taxonomy places the organism in Eukaryota, Metazoa, Chordata, Mammalia, Carnivora, Felidae. The record is from RefSeq and is a predicted model, not a curated record. The transcript has 2 exons.